This 353-nucleotide ribosomal RNA is filed under the name uncultured bacterium. Its description in RNAcentral is "bacterial SSU rRNA". It matches the Rfam family "Bacterial small subunit ribosomal RNA", at positions 442 to 793 of the family's 1533-position model. The record is from RNAcentral.
AACACGUAUGAGAGUAACUGUUCAUACGUUGACGGUAUUUAACCAGAAAGUCACGGCUAACUACGUGCCAGCAGCCGCGGUAAUACGUAGGUGGCAAGCGUUAUCCGGAUUUAUUGGGCGUAAAGAGAGUGCAGGCGGUUUUCUAAGUCUGAUGUGAAAGCCUUCGGCUUAACCGGAGAAGUGCAUCGGAAACUGGAUAACUUGAGUGCAGAAGAGGGUAGUGGAACUCCAUGUGUAGCGGUGGAAUGCGUAGAUAUAUGGAAGAACACCAGUGGCGAAGGCGGCUACCUGGUCUGCAACUGACGCUGAGACUCGAAAGCAUGGGUAGCGAACAGGAUUAGAUACCCUGGUAG